UACGGAGGGGGCUAGCGUUAUUCGGAGUUACUGGGCGUAAAGAGUGCGUAGGCGGUUUUCUAAGUUUGGUGUGAAAUCUCCCGGCUUAACUGGGAGGGUGCGCCGAAAACUGGAAGGCUUGAGUAUGGGAGAGGUAAGCGGAAUUCCUGGUGUAGCGGUGAAAUGCGUAGAUAUCAGGAGGAACACCUGCGGUGUAGACGGCUUACUGGACCAUAACUGACGCUGAGGCACGAAAGCGUGGGUAGCAAACAGG
RNAcentral lists this ribosomal RNA (253 nucleotides) under uncultured bacterium. RNAcentral describes it as "partial 16S ribosomal RNA". It matches the Rfam family "Bacterial small subunit ribosomal RNA", at positions 524 to 776 of the family's 1533-position model. The record is from RNAcentral.